AGAGUUUGAUUAUGGCUCAGAACGAACGCUUGCUGCAUGCUUUAUACAUGCAAGUCGAACGGAGGCCCUAGCUUGCUAGGUGUCCUUAGUGGCGCACGGGUGAGUAACACGUGGGAACAUACCUUAUAGUACGGAAUAACUGCGGGAAACUGUAGCUAAUACCGUAUACUCCAGUAAUGGGAAAGAUUUAUCGCUAUAAGAUUGGCCCGCGCAAGAUUAGCUUGUUGGUGAGGUAAAAGCUCACCAAGGCUUCGAUCUUUAGCUGGUUUGAGAGGACGAUCAGCCACACUGGGACUGAGACACGGCCCAGACUCCUACGGGAGGCAGCAGUAGGGAAUAUUGGACAAUGGGGGCAACCCUGAUCCAGCAAUGCAGCGUGAGUGACGAAGGCCUUAGGGUUGUAAAACUCUUUCAUCGGUGAGGAUAAUGACAGUAGCCGAAGAAGAAGGACCGGCUAAUUCCGUGCCAGCAGCCGCGGUAAUACGGAAGGUCCUAGCGUUGUUCGGAAUUACUGGGCGUAAAGCGCAUGUAGGCGGAACAGAAAGUUAGAAGUGAAAUCCCUGGGCUCAACCUAGGAAUUGCUUUUAAAACUUCUGUUCUGGAAUUCAGGAGAGGAAAAUGGAAUUUCCAGUGUAGAGGUGAAAUUCGUAGAUAUUGGAAGGAACACCAGUGGCGAAGGCGAUUUUCUGGACUGAUAUUGACGCUGAGAUGCGAAGGCAUGGGUAGCAAACGGGAUUAGAUACCCCGGUAGUCCAUGCAGUAAACGAUGGGUGCUAGUCGUCGGACUUUUGUUCGGUGUCGUAGCUAACGCGUUAAGCACCCCGCCUGGGGAGUACGGUCGCAAG
RNAcentral lists this ribosomal RNA (845 nucleotides) under marine metagenome. RNAcentral describes it as "bacterial SSU rRNA". It matches the Rfam family "Bacterial small subunit ribosomal RNA", at positions 8 to 892 of the family's 1533-position model. The record is from RNAcentral.